UACAGAGACUGCAAGCGUUAUUCGGAUUCACUGGGCGUAAAGGGUGCGCAGGCGGCCGGGUGUGUCAGAUGUGAAAUCCCGAGGCUUAACCUCGGAACUGCGUCUGAAACUACUCGGCUAGAGUAUUGGAGAGGGUAACGGAAUUCACGGUGUAGCAGUGAAAUGCGUAGAUAUCGUGAGGAACACCAGAGGCGAAGGCGGUUACCUGGACAAUUACUGACGCUCAGGCACGAAAGCGUGGGGAGCAAACAGG
Molecule: ribosomal RNA, 253 nt
Filed under: uncultured bacterium
Lineage: Bacteria
Description: partial 16S ribosomal RNA
Rfam family: Bacterial small subunit ribosomal RNA
Source: RNAcentral